Molecule: ribosomal RNA, 422 nt
Filed under: uncultured bacterium
Lineage: Bacteria
Description: bacterial SSU rRNA
Rfam family: Bacterial small subunit ribosomal RNA
Source: RNAcentral
UAUUGGACAAUGGGCGAAAGCCUGAUCCAGCCAUGCCGCGUGUGUGAAGAAGGUCUUCGGAUUGUAAAGCACUUUAAGUUGGGAGGAAGGGCAUUAACCUAAUACGUUAGUGUCUUGACGUUACCGACAGAAUAAGCACCGGCUAACUUUGUGCCAGCAGCCGCGGUAAUACAGAGGGUGCAAGCGUCAAUCGGAAUUACUGGGCGUAAAGCGAGCGUAGGUGGUUUGUUAAGUUGAAUGUGAAAUCCCAGGGCUCAACCUGGGAACUGCAACCAAAACUGGCAAGCUAGAGUAUGGUAGAGGGUAGUGGAAUUUCCUGUGUAGCGGUGAAAUGCGUAGAUAUAGGAAGGAACACCAGUGGCGAAGGCGACUACCUGGACUGAUACUGACACUGAGGUGCGAAAGCGUGGGGAGCAAACAGG